Molecule: transfer RNA, 27 nt
Filed under: Ostrya rehderiana
Lineage: Eukaryota; Viridiplantae; Streptophyta; Magnoliopsida; Fagales; Betulaceae
Also listed under: 2 other names
Description: partial tRNA-His
Source: RNAcentral
CGGAUGUACCCAAGUGGAUCAAGGCAG